GCGUGCCUAAUACAUGCAAGUCGAACGAACUCUGGUAUUGAUUGGUGCUUGCAUCAUGAUUUACAUUUGAGUGAGUGGCGAACUGGUGAGUAACACGUGGGAAACCUGCCCAGAAGCGGGGGAUAACACCUGGAAACAGAUGCUAAUACCGCAUAACAACUUGGACCGCAUGGUCCGAGCUUGAAAGAUGGCUUCGGCUAUCACUUUUGGAUGGUCCCGCGGCGUAUUAGCUAGAUGGUGGGGUAACGGCUCACCAUGGCAAUGAUACGUAGCCGACCUGAGAGGGUAAUCGGCCACAUUGGGACUGAGACACGGCCCAAACUCCUACGGGAGGCAGCAGUAGGGAAUCUUCCACAAUGGACGAAAGUCUGAUGGAGCAACGCCGCGUGAGUGAAGAAGGGUUUCGGCUCGUAAAACUCUGUUGUUAAAGAAGAACAUAUCUGAGAGUAACUGUUCAGGUAUUGACGGUAUUUAACCAGAAAGCCACGGCUAACUACGUGCCAGCAGCCGCGGUAAUACGUAGGUGGCAAGCGUUGUCCGGAUUUAUUGGGCGUAAAGCGAGCGCAGGCGGUUUUUUAAGUCUGAUGUGAAAGCCUUCGGCUCAACCGAAGAAGUGCAUCGGAAACUGGGAAACUUGAGUGCAGAAGAGGACAGUGGAACUCCAUGUGUAGCGGUGAA
This 678-nucleotide ribosomal RNA is filed under the name Lactiplantibacillus plantarum. RNAcentral's name for it is "bacterial SSU rRNA". It matches the Rfam family "Bacterial small subunit ribosomal RNA", at positions 42 to 685 of the family's 1533-position model. The record is from RNAcentral. Lineage: Bacteria; Bacillati; Bacillota; Bacilli; Lactobacillales; Lactobacillaceae.